CAGCCGCGGUAAUACGAAGGGUGCAAGCGUUACUCGGAAUUACUGGGCGUAAAGCGUGCGUAGGUGGUUUGUUAAGUCUGAUGUGAAAGCUCCCGGCUCAACUGGGAGAAGCCAUUGGAUACUGCUAGCCUUGAGACACUUAGAGGAGAGUGGAAUUCCCGGUGUAGUGGUGGAAUGCGUAGAUAUCGGGAGGAACACCAGUGGCGAAAGCGGCUCUCUGGGAGUGUUCUGACGCUGAGGCGCGAAAGCGUGGGGAGCAAAC
Molecule: ribosomal RNA, 262 nt
Filed under: uncultured bacterium
Lineage: Bacteria
Description: partial 16S ribosomal RNA
Rfam family: Bacterial small subunit ribosomal RNA
Source: RNAcentral